This 490-nucleotide ribosomal RNA is filed under the name uncultured bacterium. RNAcentral's name for it is "partial 16S ribosomal RNA". It matches the Rfam family "Bacterial small subunit ribosomal RNA", at positions 30 to 507 of the family's 1533-position model. The record is from RNAcentral.
AUUGAACGCUGGCGGCAUGCCUUACACAUGCAAGUCGAACGGCAGCAUGAUCUCUCUUGCUGGAUUGAUGGCUAGUGGCUGACGGUUGAGUAUUACAUCCGAACGUGCCCUGUGGUGGUGGGUAUCUUGUCGAAUGCUUACCUAAUACCGCAUACUACCUGGGGGUGAAUGUGGGGGACCUCAAGGCCUCAUGCUAUAGGAUCGUCCGAUGUCUGAUUAGCUAGUUGGUGAUGUUAAGGCUUACCAAGGCGACGAUCAGUAGCUGGUAUGAGAGGACGAUCAGCUAGACGGGGAGUGAGAAAGGGCAGAGACACCGAGGGGAGGCAGCAGUGGGGAAUCUUGGAGGAGGGGGGAAAGGGUGAUCCAGGAAAGCGGCGUGAGUGAAGAAGGAGUUAGGGUGGGAAAGCACUGAUGUCCGGAAAGAAAUGGAGCUGGUUAAGACCGGAGGUUGAUGACGGUACCGGAAGAAGAAGGACCGGCUAACUACGUG